This 24-nucleotide microRNA is filed under the name Bos taurus (domestic cattle). RNAcentral describes it as "bta-miR-12036". Lineage: Eukaryota; Metazoa; Chordata; Mammalia; Artiodactyla; Bovidae. The record is from miRBase by way of RNAcentral.
CGGCUCCGUGACUCGUCCGUGGAC